RNAcentral lists this long non-coding RNA (403 nucleotides) under Durio zibethinus. Its description in RNAcentral is "long non-coding RNA (DZIB_LNC001610)". Lineage: Eukaryota; Viridiplantae; Streptophyta; Magnoliopsida; Malvales; Malvaceae. The record is from RNAcentral.
AAAUCUGAAAUUCCCCAUUUUCCACCAGCCCCAGACCUGAAAUAGUGAAAUCCUCUAGUCUCUAAUCAUUCUGCUCUUCGAUCAGAUUUAAUCUCAUUUUCGACCCUCAAUUUCUCAUCCCAUAUCUGCCUCCCUCGUACCCGUUUCUGGCCUGUUGUUUUGCGUCUCGGGCGUCUACUGCUUCUUUGAUGAGAUCGACGAGAGUCACAGCCCAACAAGACAGCGAUUGACGACACCAACAGCCACCGUAAGUCCCUAAUGACCUUCAUCAUUUCCUUUAUCAUUUUCAUGCUAAAAGCGAAGUGUUAUUGAUAUUCUACUUGCGAAUAUGUUAGAGAAAAACAACUCUGCGACUUGAAAGUGGCCUUCAGCUUGCUUUGCUGCAAUUUUGAUUGCUGCUACU